Triticum dicoccoides is the source of this 1831-nucleotide long non-coding RNA. RefSeq lists it as uncharacterized. NCBI's taxonomy places the organism in Eukaryota, Viridiplantae, Streptophyta, Magnoliopsida, Poales, Poaceae. The record is from RefSeq and is a predicted model, not a curated record. The transcript is spliced from 5 exons.
GCCAAUGAUUCCCCUGCUCCCUCUCCAGCAAGUGAAGCUGCCCCUCAGAUCUCGUUUCUUCUCUCGUUCUCAAACUUCAUCCGCUACCCCCGCCGCCGAGCUAGCUCCACAGGAGCACGGAGGAGAAUUUGUCACGGGACGACUGCGGAUGACUCCUCUGUCUUCUUUCUGGAGAUGCCUGCUUCCAAGCCCACAUGCAUCUGUCCUUUUGUGCUCCUAGCCCAACUAGGCCGAUCACGGCCAUGUACGUCUGUAAUCCUCUGCCAGCAAACAUGACCCCUAGUGUUUUCUGUUCCAUGUGGCGCACAUCCCAAAGAAUAUGCACGUCCAGGAUAGCAGUACCCGGGUGCGUAAGCUCACAGGAAUGAUUUCGCCCCCGGGUCGGGGCUCGAAAGAAGGUCCGGGCCUACGAGGGAAAGCAGCGAGGGUUGGUGCAGCGGCAAAUGCGGGUGGGAUCUGCCGUGGAGGGAGGCUCGUCAAGCCAGAACAACAGGAGCAAGGAGGUCGUGCAGGCGCGAAUGCUGGCGGGGUCGGCCGUGGAAGAAGUCUCGCUGGACGGAGCAUCAAGAGCAGGGAAGUCGAGGUGGUUCAGGUUUGCCUCUAUCUCCUCCCCACUCUAUCUCUGCCCUCUCUCUUAUUUUCCCCUUUGUCUCGUGGAUAAGGGCGUUAGUGCACCACGAGGAGUAGAUCGAGCGUGGACCAUAGCUGCAGGAUCAAGGAGAUGUUGGUGGUUCUGGCAACAAGGAGCUGCUGGUGGUUCUGGCAACAAGGAGGAUGAUCAAGAAGGAUUGGGGAACACCAGCAAAAAAAGUACUGGGGGAGACGGGCGGGACGAAGGCAUGGAGAUAGUUGUUUGGUGCCAACGUGCGUUUGGUGUUGAUUGCUGGCUGGCCGACUAAGGUGUGCUACCGGCGAUGAGAUCCAGGAGGAGGUGGCGGCUGACAGGGAGACGAGGACCUUUUUGCUUGCAUUCUCGUGUCUUUUGGCAAGGAGAAAAUUAUCAUUUGGAGGGGAAAAGACAGAUGAAAACAUGCAUGAUAGUAUAUGCAAUUGACAUACCCUUCAGUUCUUGAAUCAGAGUUCAGUGGUGAAGAACACUACAAUUUUUUGGCCGAUGGAUUGGUCUGAAUAUAUUGUAAGGGAUUUUGCAUGAAGUGGUUAUUCAAAGAAUGGAACCAAUUUUAUGUGAAAAAUACUAUGAUUAAAGCAUACACGAUUUUACUGAAUGGAUAUGGUAUAACCUCCAUGAUAUUUGAGUGGUCCAGAAUCAAGACGCCCUGAGAAUUUUACCCUUCGAUGAACAAUGCAAGAUUUUGCCUAUUCUCUGAGAUGGAUGAUGAUGAGCGGUGCAACCGAAAAUUCAGAGCUAGGCUUUACACACUUUAGUGGGUUAGUGAAGUUCCAGUUUUUCUUCUUUACCCUAUUGCUGCUCUGUUGUACAGAGAGCAGUGAGUUUAUAUUAGCUAAAUGUUAGAUUGGAAUGCAAGAGUAGCAUGACAACACCAAGGUAGAGACCUUAAGAGAAGCAAGGGGAUGGACCAAGGAAACUAGAACCGUGCUGUCGUGAUGUGGGUCGUGUCGUCUUUGUCCAUCUCCAUGGAGGUAUAUAUACAUAGAUUAGGUAUAGGAAAGGAGACCGUCUCCAUGGAACUCUGACUGGUGUGUAAUGUCCUCAUAGGACUGGACCGUUUACAGAGGGAGUACUUGAAAAUAGAUUCUUUAUAUAUUGUUUGGUUCCAUCAGCCGCAUAACCUAAAUUAGCAAUUAGGUAUCUAAACAGUGUAGUGUAACCAUUGUGCUUGCUGCAGUUUUACUUUAGUGUUGAAAUGUU